UACAGAGACUGCAAGCGUUAUUCGGAUUCACUGGGCGUAAAGGGUGCGCAGGCGGCCAAGUGUGUUAGGCGUGAAAGCCCGGGGCUUAACCCCGGAAUUGCACCUAAAACUACAUGGCUAGAGCAUUGGAGAGGGUAGCGGAAUUCACGGUGUAGCAGUGAAAUGCGUAGAUAUCGGGAGGAACAUCAGUGGCGAAGGCGGCUACCUGGCCCAAUACUGACACUCAGGUGCGACAGCGUGGGGAGCAAACAGG
This 253-nucleotide ribosomal RNA is filed under the name uncultured bacterium. RNAcentral describes it as "partial 16S ribosomal RNA". It matches the Rfam family "Bacterial small subunit ribosomal RNA", at positions 524 to 776 of the family's 1533-position model. The record is from RNAcentral.